RNAcentral lists this ribosomal RNA (344 nucleotides) under uncultured bacterium. RNAcentral's name for it is "bacterial SSU rRNA". It matches the Rfam family "Bacterial small subunit ribosomal RNA", at positions 370 to 707 of the family's 1533-position model. The record is from RNAcentral.
AAUGGACGAAAGUCUGACGGAGCAACGCCGCGUGAGUGAUGAAGGAUUUCGGUCUGUAAAGCUCUGUUGUUUAUGACGAAGUGCAGUGUGUGAACAAUGCAUUGCAAUGACGGUAGUAAACGAGGAAGCCACGGCUAACUACGUGCCAGCAGCCGCGGUAAUACGUAGGUGGCGAGCGUUGUCCGGAAUUAUUGGGCGUAAAGAGCAUGUAGGCGGCUUAAUAAGUCGAGCGUGAAAAUGCGGGGCUCAACCCCGUAUGACGCUGGAAACUGUUAGGCUUGAGUGCAGGAGAGGAAAGGGGAAUUCUCAGUGUAGCGGUGAAAUGCGUAGAUAUUGGGAGGAAC